Humulus lupulus (European hop) is the source of this 676-nucleotide long non-coding RNA. RefSeq lists it as uncharacterized. The transcript has 3 exons. NCBI's taxonomy places the organism in Eukaryota, Viridiplantae, Streptophyta, Magnoliopsida, Rosales, Cannabaceae. The record is from RefSeq and is a predicted model, not a curated record.
UCCUAUCAAUUGUGAUAAAAAAACAAAUAAUGAAAUUAAAAGAAAAUAAAUAAGAAAUAGGAAACUUACCUUUUCUCUUGAGUGGACCAUUAUGGAGAGAAUAAGGUUAAAUGGGGAAUGAGGUGAAGAGGAGAGCCAUUUUCUUGUGGCUGUCGUGUGUUGAAGAGAGGAAGAGAGAGAGAGAGUGGCGAGCUAGAGAGAGAAAGGGGAAGGGGCUGCCAUUUUCUAGAGAGAAGGAGGAAAGAAAGAAAGAAAGAAAUAAGGAGAGGAAGAAGAAGUGGGGAUUCGAAAUCCCUAGGUGUAGGUGCUCAAGAGGAGAAUCAACCUUGUGAUUUUGAUUUCUAUCAAGGAGGUAGCAAAUAUGUUUCUCUAUGGCACGCGUGGUGAUCUGGGGAGUUCUAUCGUCAUGGUGUGUAUGGCGUGGGGGCAUCCUAUGGACGAAAAAUGAUCAAUUAAAUACACCAUUUUUUUAAUACUGUUAUGUUUUAUGAGACUUUUUAAACUUAUCAGUGAGACUUGAAUUAUUGGUUGUUUUAGAACUUUGCAUAAACUGAUAUUUUCUUUUAAAACUAUUGGAUCCAACUUGCAUGUUUUAAUCAAGACCCCACUGAAACCUUUAUAAUAAGUGGCUUUCUUUUGUAAACCAAUGAAAAUGUGAAUGUUUUAUUAGCUACUA